RNAcentral lists this transfer RNA (76 nucleotides) under Pseudofrankia asymbiotica. RNAcentral's name for it is "Frankia asymbiotica tRNA-Asp". It matches the Rfam family "tRNA". Rfam says of the family: Transfer RNA (tRNA) molecules are approximately 80 nucleotides in length. Their secondary structure includes four short double-helical elements and three loops (D, anti-codon, and T loops). The record is from RNAcentral. Lineage: Bacteria; Bacillati; Actinomycetota; Actinomycetes; Frankiales; Frankiaceae.
GCUGGUGUCGCCCAGCGGCCAGGGCACCUCCUUGUCAGGGAGGACAUCGGGGGUUCGAGUCCCCUCACCAGCGCCA